RNAcentral lists this long non-coding RNA (1445 nucleotides) under Gossypium barbadense (sea-island cotton). RNAcentral's name for it is "long non-coding RNA (GBAR_LNC019921)". Lineage: Eukaryota; Viridiplantae; Streptophyta; Magnoliopsida; Malvales; Malvaceae. The record is from RNAcentral.
AAGAGUUCCAUUGCUUCAUCUACCCUUUUAGCUUUGCAAUAUCCGUUGAUCAUGAUGUUGUAACUACGUAUAGCAGGUGCACAACCCUUCUUACUCAUCAACUGAAAUACUCUUCUAGCUUCAUCCAUUUUGUUUUGCAAGCAAUGACCAUUUAUUAAUGCAUUAUAUGUGACAACAUCAGGCUCAAUGCCUUUCUUUCUCAUUGUAUCAACAAUAUCUUCAGCUUUAGAAACCAUUCCCUCUUUGCAAUGUGCAUCAACCAAUAUACUGUAUGUGACAACAUUAGGUUCAAUGCCUUGCUUUCGCAUUGCAUCAACAGUAUCUACAGCUUCUGAAAUCACCCUCUUCUUGCAAUGUGCAUCUAUCAAUAUAUUAUACGUGACAAUAUCAAGAGAAAUAUUGUUACCCGCCAUUUCAUUCAAAAGCCUGGUUGCCUCCUUCUGCUGGCCCAAGUUACACACACCAUGAAUUAAACAAUUGUAAAUAACAAUAUUUGGUCUAAUGCCCUUAACUUUCAUUUUGGAGAAAAGAUCAAGAGCCUCACUUAGUAACCCCUUCUUACAAAAACAGUCAAUGACAGUGCUAUAUGCUACAAUAUUGGGUUUGAAACCUCUUUCUUCCAUCAUUCUUAGAAACCUAAGAGCUCGAUCAGUAUUCCCGGUCUUGCACAAACCAUUAAGAACUGUAGUGUAAACAAUUAAAUUAGGUCGAUACCCUUUUUCCAUCAUUUCAUCAAACAAACUCAAAGCCUCAGAUAUCUUACUUCGCUUACAAAGUCCAUUAAUCAAAGUGGACAAAGUUACAACAUCAGGUUGAACACCUACCUUCAUCAUUUUCCCCAAAACAGAAGACCCAAAAUCAAUAUAACCUAAUUGACAAAAGCAAUUAAUCAAGAUGUUGAAAGAAUAAAUGUCAUAGGAAACUCCUAAUAAUUCCAUCUGGCUAUACAUAGAAACAGCAAUGGCAUAAUGUUUCAUUCUAACAAUGGCUCCUAAUAAUUUGUUGAAUUCCACAACUGAAGGCUUUCGGUGCUUCGCAACCAUCUUAUUAAACAAAGUCAAAGCAUCAUCCACGUUAUAGAAGCAAUCAUACUUUUUUUGGUUUCCCCUUGCAGAGAUGUGGGGAGAAAUGGUGUUAAAAUAACAAGAAAAUGAAGAGUGGAAAUUAGAAAAGUUCCUUCCACCAUUAACAAUAUGACGAAGAAGCAAUGAAGAAUGAAGCUUACCCAUAUCUUGAAAUUAAGCGAAAGGAAAAGAAAGAGGUGAGCUUCAAAUGAAACCACAAAUGGCGGCGGCAGUCACCGAUAUUCCGUUUAAAGGCUAUCCCUAAUUGGCAGAUUGGUGAGUCAUGGUUUGAAGGUGUUUGAAGGUAAUCCCUUCAUUUCCUUCUUUGUUUGCUCUGCUAAAUUUGAUAUUCCAGGUGCAGACCGCCUCUUUAGGUAAAUU